CAGAGAGUAGCCUAGCUGGUUAAGGCACCUGAUUUGGGAUCAGGAAAUCGGGAGUUCAAAUCUCUCCUCUUUGA
RNAcentral lists this transfer RNA (74 nucleotides) under Bacteriophage sp. RNAcentral's name for it is "tRNA-Pro". It matches the Rfam family "tRNA". Rfam says of the family: Transfer RNA (tRNA) molecules are approximately 80 nucleotides in length. Their secondary structure includes four short double-helical elements and three loops (D, anti-codon, and T loops). The record is from RNAcentral.